GCCACAAACGCAGACACUCUUAUCUCCUUGGUUAUCUGUGUUGCCCUCCAGUACUUUGUGUAUAUUUAUGUAUCUUCAUCAUCUACAUUUCACAAAUUGACCUUAAUCGCAGAGCUUACAUAUCUCACUCCAUCAUUUAUCUCUCUCAGAAUGUUAAUCCCUGAUCUGGAAAUUGUGUUUCUCUGAAAAGCUAUGAUGAUAACGCCUUUUUGAACUUCUUCAGGGGAUUGUCUUUUGCUUAUGCACCUAUCAGCGGUGUGCCUAAUACAUCUCAGUUUCCGCAAAUGGGUUAUAUGGUGGAAUGCUCAAUAUAUCAAUCAAACACAAAAUUACUUAAAUGUGGGAUAUCUGUUAUAAGGAACAUGCCUCCCUCAAUAACCUCUUUUACCUCUUUCAUUGGAGGACACUCAUAUAGAGCAUUGACCAGAAAUUUUUGUCUGAGGGAUGUAUGGCAUGCAACACAAACUUGUGAGCCACAGUUUGGUGGGAAGUCUUCGGAGGGGGAAACUAAAAGCGAAGAAGAAACCCACUUUAGCUGUUUUGAUGACUUCGAUUUUGAAGAUGAUCCAGAACUUUUAAGAAGGAGAAGGAUUGGAUUGGCUAACAAAGGGAAAGUGCCGUGGAACAAGGGGAAAAAACAUAGUGCAGAAACUCGUGCGCUGAUCAGGGAGAGAACAAGAGCAGCCAUGAGAGACCCCAAGGUCAAAGAAAAGAUGGCUGAAUCUCCACGAACUCAUAGUGACCAAACAAAGGAUAGAAUACGCUCAUCGAUUAGACGGCUUUGGGAUGAGCGAUUUAAGGAGAGAAUGGCUGGGGAAAAAUUGUUCUUAGCAUGGGCUUCCCGUAUUGCAGAGGCUGCUAAGCUAGGUGGAAGUGGCGAAGAAGAACUUGACUGGAAUAGCUAUGAGAAGAUUAAACGUGAGAUAGCUUUAGAACAGCGUCAGCGGGCAGUGGACAAGGUAACUGCAAAGGAGAUGGGACGCAUACGCAGUCAGAGAAAAGCACAGGCAAAAGCAGAGAAGCUGAUAAGGCUUGCGGAAAAGAGAGACGUACAGGAGAAGGCAAAUUUUAAGGGUGACAAAAAGAGAAAAACACACAAGAAGUCGAAAGAAGAAAUAGAGGAGUUGGCUGUUGCUCAAGAAUUAAGACUAAAGGAAAGAUUGAUAAAGAUGCACAGGAGAAAAUCCACCGCCGGUCAGUUGACCAAUCAAGAUCACCGGUCUUGGGAAAAAAUUGAUUUGGAGUCAGUUAAGAGAGAUCAGAUACACAAGGAAGUUUCACUUGCAGACCAGAUCCGAGCUGUGAAGAACAAAAGAACUCUGACAAAUUCAUCUUCAAUUUGUCUAUCUAGUCAGAGAUCAGAUGAUGAGUGAGAUUGAUCUCCAUGAUUUGCUGCAAACUAAUACAAUUGAUGAACGAAAGGUAAGGUGUUUAAGGAGUUCAGUCCUUAAGCUACAGCAUAGCAUCAUCACGGGGCCAUAGCCUACCUGCUGGAAUGAUAAAUAAGGUACUCAAUGCUAACAAGUUAUAUUGUCAUGCAAUGCAGGACAAAAUAACUGUCAUGAAAAGCAUUUUACUUCCUUGUUCAUGCUAGUCAUUUAAAAGCAAAAAUGUACUCUUCAAGGCAGGAACCAGACAACCAAUGACGUACUAAUUGACUAACUAAUGAUCUUGAUAUGUUCUCCUGUGCUCUGAUUAUUUUUAGACUUGUAAAAUCAUUGAUGAGUUUCUAUCUUAUAUUAUGAUUCUGUGGUGAUCAUUCUGAUGUAAUAUAUGUAGCUCAAGUAUUUUUAAAGAACUCUGGUUUCAAAUUGCAAACUGCAGUUUCGAUA
RNA transcript from Daucus carota subsp. sativus, 1832 nucleotides. RefSeq lists it as uncharacterized. The transcript has 7 exons. The record is from RefSeq and is a predicted model, not a curated record. NCBI's taxonomy places the organism in Eukaryota, Viridiplantae, Streptophyta, Magnoliopsida, Apiales, Apiaceae.